GACGAACGCUGGCGGCGUGCCUAAUACAUGCAAGUUGAGCGAUGAAGAUUGGUGCUUGCACCAAUUUGAAGAGCAGCGAACGGGUGAGUAACGCGUGGGGAAUCUGCCUUUGAGCGGGGGACAACAUUUGGAAACGAAUGCUAAUACCGCAUAACAACUUUAAACAUAAGUUUUAAGUUUGAAAGAUGCAAUUGCAUCACUCAAAGAUGAUCCCGCGUUGUAUUAGCUAGUUGGUGAGGUAAAGGCUCACCAAGGCGAGGAUACAUAGCCGAACUGAGAGGGUGGUCGGCCACAUUGGGACGGAGACACGGCCCAAACGCCUACGGGAGGCAGCAGAAGGGAAUCGUAGGCAAUGGACGAAAGUCUGACCGAGCAACGCCGCGUGAGUGAAGAAGGUUUUCGGAUCGGAAAACUCGGUUGGUAGAGAAGAACGUUGGUGGGAGUGGAAAGCUCAUCAAGUGACGGUAACUACCCAGAAAGGGACGGCUAACUACGUG
RNAcentral lists this ribosomal RNA (497 nucleotides) under uncultured bacterium. RNAcentral's name for it is "partial 16S ribosomal RNA". It matches the Rfam family "Bacterial small subunit ribosomal RNA", at positions 28 to 507 of the family's 1533-position model. The record is from RNAcentral.